This 460-nucleotide ribosomal RNA is filed under the name uncultured bacterium. RNAcentral describes it as "partial 16S ribosomal RNA". It matches the Rfam family "Bacterial small subunit ribosomal RNA", at positions 338 to 795 of the family's 1533-position model. The record is from RNAcentral.
CCUACGGGAGGCAGCAGUGAGGAAUAUUGGUCAAUGGGCGCGAGCCUGAACCAGCCAAGUAGCGUGAAGGAUGACUGCCCUACGGGUUGUAAACUUCUUUUAUAAAGGAAUAAAGUGAGGCACGUGUGCCUUUUUGUAUGUACUUUAUGAAUAAGGAUCGGCUAACUCCGUGCCAGCAGCCGCGGUAAUAAGGAGGAUCCGAGCGUUAUCCGGAUUUAUUGGGUUUAAAGGGAGCGUAGAUGGGUUGUUAAGUCAGUUGUGAAAGUUUGCGGCUCAACCGUAAAAUUGCAAUUGAUACUGGCAGUCUUGAGUACAGGUGAGGUAGGCGGAAUUCGUGGUGUAGCGGUGAAAUGCUUAGAUAUCACGAAGAACUCCGAUUGCGAAGGCAGCCUACUAACCUGCCACUGACAUUGAUGCUCGAAAGUGUGGGUAUCAAACAGGAUUAGAUACCCCAGUAGUC